RNAcentral lists this ribosomal RNA (805 nucleotides) under uncultured bacterium. RNAcentral describes it as "bacterial SSU rRNA". It matches the Rfam family "Bacterial small subunit ribosomal RNA", at positions 8 to 796 of the family's 1533-position model. The record is from RNAcentral.
AGAGUUUGAUCAUGGCUCAGGACGAACGCUGGCGGCGUGCCUAAUACAUGCAAGUUGAGCGCUGAAGGUUGGUACUUGUACCAACUGGAUGAGCAGCGAACGGGUGAGUAACGCGUGGGGAAUCUGCCUUUGAGCGGGGGACAACAUUUGGAAACGAAUGCUAAUACCGCAUAAAAACUUUAAACACAAGUUUUAAGUUUGAAAGAUGCAAUUGCAUCACUCAAAGAUGAUCCCGCGUUGUAUUAGCUAGUUGGUGAGGUAAAGGCUCACCAAGGCGAUGAUACAUAGCCGACCUGAGAGGGUGAUCGGCCACAUUGGGACUGAGACACGGCCCAAACUCCUACGGGAGGCAGCAGUAGGGAAUCUUCGGCAAUGGACGAAAGUCUGACCGAGCAACGCCGCGUGAGUGAAGAAGGUUUUCGGAUCGUAAAACUCUGUUGGUAGAGAAGAACGUUGGUGAGAGUGGAAAGCUCAUCAAGUGACGGUAACUACCCAGAAAGGGACGGCUAACUACGUGCCAGCAGCCGCGGUAAUACGUAGGUCCCGAGCGUUGUCCGGAUUUAUUGGGCGUAAAGCGAGCGCAGGUGGUUUAUUAAGUCUGGUGUAAAAGGCAGUGGCUCAACCAUUGUAUGCAUUGGAAACUGGUAGACUUGAGUGCAGGAGAGGGGAGUGGAAUUCCAUGUGUAGCGGUGAAAUGCGUAGAUAUAUGGAGGAACACCGGUGGCGAAAGCGGCUCUCUGGCCUGUAACUGACACUGAGGCUCGAAAGCGUGGGGAGCAAACAGGAUUAGAUACCCUGGUAGUCC